GACGAACGCUGGCGGCGUGCUUAACACAUGCAAGUCGAACGCUGAAACUCAGCUUUUGUUGGGUGGAUGAGUGGCGAACGGGUGAGUAACACGUGAGUAACCUGCCCCCUUCUUUGGGAUAACGCCCGGAAACGGGUGCUAAUACUGGAUAUUCACUGGUCUUCGCAUGGGGGUUGGUGGAAAGGGUUUUUCUGGUGGGGGAUGGGCUCGCGGCCUAUCAGCUUGUUGGUGGGGUGAUGGCCUACCAAGGCUUUGACGGGUAGCCGGCCUGAGAGGGUGACCGGUCACAUUGGGACUGAGAUACGGCCCAGACUCCUACGGGAGGCAGCAGUGGGGAAUAUUGCACAAUGGGCGCAAGCCUGAUGCAGCGACGCCGCGUGAGGGAUGGAGGCCUUCGGGUUGUGAACCUCUUUCGCUCAUGGUCAAGCCGCAACAAUGGUUGUGGUGAGGGUAGUGGGUAAAGAAGCGCCGGCUAACUACGUG
Molecule: ribosomal RNA, 483 nt
Filed under: uncultured bacterium
Lineage: Bacteria
Description: partial 16S ribosomal RNA
Rfam family: Bacterial small subunit ribosomal RNA
Source: RNAcentral